This 73-nucleotide transfer RNA is filed under the name Marmota monax (woodchuck). RNAcentral's name for it is "tRNA.Ala". The record is from RNAcentral. Lineage: Eukaryota; Metazoa; Chordata; Mammalia; Rodentia; Sciuridae.
GCGGAGUUGUGGCUCAGUGGUAGAGCACCAGCCUAGCACAUGGGAGGCACUGGGUUCGAUCCUCAGCACCGCA